GGGCGAUUGGCGCAGUGGUAGCGCGCUUCGUUCACACCGAAGAGGUCGGCGGUUCGAAACCGCCAUCGCCCAC
RNAcentral lists this transfer RNA (73 nucleotides) under Arachnia propionica. RNAcentral's name for it is "Pseudopropionibacterium propionicum tRNA-Val(cac)". It matches the Rfam family "tRNA". From Rfam's summary of the family: Transfer RNA (tRNA) molecules are approximately 80 nucleotides in length. Their secondary structure includes four short double-helical elements and three loops (D, anti-codon, and T loops). Further hydrogen bonds mediate the characteristic L-shaped molecular structure. tRNAs have two regions of fundamental functional importance: the anti-codon, which is responsible for specific mRNA codon recognition, and the 3' end, to which the tRNAs corresponding amino acid is attached (by aminoacyl-tRNA synthetases). tRNAs cope with the degeneracy of the genetic code in two manners: having more than one tRNA (with a specific anti-codon) for a particular amino acid; and 'wobble' base-pairing, i.e. permitting non-standard base-pairing at the 3rd anti-codon position. Lineage: Bacteria; Bacillati; Actinomycetota; Actinomycetes; Propionibacteriales; Propionibacteriaceae. RNAcentral also lists the same sequence under 4 other names. The record is from RNAcentral.